Molecule: ribosomal RNA, 519 nt
Filed under: uncultured eukaryote
Lineage: Eukaryota
Description: SSU rRNA
Rfam family: Eukaryotic small subunit ribosomal RNA
Source: RNAcentral
AGGGCACCACCAGGAGUGGAGCCUGCGGCUUAAUUUGACUCAACACGGGAAAACUCACCCGGCCCGGACACUGGAAGGAUUGACUGAUUGAGAGCUCUUUCUUGAUUCAGUGGGUGGUGGUGCAUGGCCGUUCUUAGUUGGUGGAGUGAUUUGUCUGGUUAAUUCCGAUAACGAACGAGACUCUAGCCUAUUAAAUAGAUCGUUGGCUUACAAACGCCGGCGAGACUUCUUAGAGGGACAGGCGGCGAUUCAGCCGCACGAAACAGAGCAAUAACAGGUCUGUGAUGCCCUUAGAUGUCCGGGGCCGCACGCGCGCUACACUGAAGUGAUCAGCGUGCAUUUUGAAACCUACUCUGUCAAGAGUGGGGAACCCAAUGAACCUUCUUCGUGAUUGGGAUAGGGGAUUGUAAUUAUUCCCCUUGAACGAGGAAUUCCCAGUAAGCGCGAAUCAUAAGUUUGCGCUGAUUACGUCCCUGCCCUUUGCACACACCGCCCGUCGCUACUACCGAUUGAAUGUUU